Molecule: ribosomal RNA, 517 nt
Filed under: uncultured bacterium
Lineage: Bacteria
Description: bacterial SSU rRNA
Rfam family: Bacterial small subunit ribosomal RNA
Source: RNAcentral
GAUCAUGGCUCAGGACGAACGCUGGCGGCGUGCCUAACACAUGCAAGUCGAGCGGGGACAUGCGACGGAUCGGAAGUUUCGGAUGGAAGAGAAGAUGUAUGUUCUAGCGGCGGACGGGUGAGUAACGCGUGAGCAACCUGUCCUUCACAGGGGGAUAACACAGCGAAAGUUGUACUAAUACCGCAUAAGACCACAACGGGACAUCCCGAAGGGGUCAAAGGAGCAAUCCGGUGAAGGGUGGGCUCGCGUCCGAUUAGAUAGUUGGUGAGGUAACGGCCCACCAAGUCGACGAUCGGUAGCCGACCUGAGAGGGUGAUCGGCCACAUUGGGACUGAGACACGGCCCAAAUUCCUACGGGAGGCAGCAGUGGGGAAUAUUGGGCAAUUGGGGGGAAACCCUGACCCAGCAACGCCGCGUGAGGGAAGAAGGUUUUCGGAUCGUAAACCUCUGUCCUUGGUGAAGAGUAAGAGACGGUAGCCAAGGAGGAAGCCCCGGCUAACUACGUGCCAGCAGCGGC